GCGUUGAUUUCGGUCUGGGACUCCUUCAGCUGCUGCUUCAGGAGAGAGAUCUCCCCGGACUUCUGGCACACCUGCCGCAGGGCGGGGCGGGGACAAGAGAGAGUGCCAAGCAAGCCUGACAGGACAAUCUGGGAACAAGGUCAGAGCAAUUGACCUUGCUGUGAAGGUCUGGAUUAGACAAAUGAGGACGGAUGUACAAUGCCAGCACUGGCCUAUGUCUCUGAGACGGCCUGAAGUGUCCCCGACGCCUGGCUGAGAAACGAUGGCUGGGGUAGGGUCUGCGGUGCCAACACUGAUGGGAAAGAGGAAAGGCACUGGUCCCACAGCUAAGGCCCUUUUCUCGCUGGGAAACCCGGCAAACAGAAAGUGACUCUCCCUUGCCACCUGUCUGGUGCCUCCAUCCAUCACUUCCACAGAAAGACUCCUUUUCUUCCAUGCCCGGUAACACCUGUCACUCCAGGAUAAGUACAGGCAGCUCAGUGCAAAGAGAUGGCAGGGAGGCUGAGGGUUUGUCAUCCCCAUCUGGGUGGCAUUGGUCUCCCCAGAUACGAUGGCUCCUCAGCCCUUCCCAGGUAGGAGACUCUGGGGUGAAAGCCAUGAGCCUUCCAGUUCCCUGCACCACCUCCCAAGGCAUCUCAGGAAAUGGGCCUCUUUCUGCCUCCAUGGUCUUCCCUGAGUUUGAGGGCCCUGUGGUUACAAAGCCGGCAGGUUAGCUCAGUUUCCCUGUGCAAUUUGUGUUCCCACCAUUGCCUCGAGCCCCAGGAGACCUGCAGAAGGGAGGCGCUGGCACUGAACCCCUGACCACCGCCCUGGGCCCAUGCCCGCUGCCUCACCUCCCACUGCGUCUCCUCCAGCGCUGGAGCGAAGCUGGUCUUCUCCUUCUCGUAAGACCUGAGCUUGGUCUCCAGCAGGUC
Long non-coding RNA from Phacochoerus africanus (Common warthog), 914 nucleotides. RefSeq lists it as uncharacterized. The transcript is spliced from 3 exons. Lineage: Eukaryota; Metazoa; Chordata; Mammalia; Artiodactyla; Suidae. The record is from RefSeq and is a predicted model, not a curated record.